Molecule: ribosomal RNA, 894 nt
Filed under: Propionigenium maris
Lineage: Bacteria; Fusobacteriati; Fusobacteriota; Fusobacteriia; Fusobacteriales; Fusobacteriaceae
Description: bacterial SSU rRNA
Rfam family: Bacterial small subunit ribosomal RNA
Source: RNAcentral
UUCGGGUGAUAGUACGGUGGCGGACGGGUGAGUAACGCGUAAAGAACUUGCCCUCUAGACUGGGACAACUGUUGGAAACGACAGCUAAUACCGGAUAUUAUGAGAACCUCGCAUGGGGAACUUAUGAAAGCUAUAUGCGCUAGAGGAGAGCUUUGCGUGCCAUUAGGUAGUUGGUAGGGUAACGGCCUACCAAGCCGACGAUGGCUAGCCGGCCUGAGAGGGUGAUCGGCCACAAGGGGACUGAGACACGGCCCUUACUCCUACGGGAGGCAGCAGUGGGGAAUAUUGGACAAUGGACCAAAAGUCUGAUCCAGCAAUUCUGUGUGCACGAUGAAGGUUUUCGGAUCGUAAAGUGCUUUCAGUAGGGAAGAAAAAAAUGACGGUACCUACAGAAGAAGCGACGGCUAAAUACGUGCCAGCAGCCGCGGUAAUACGUAUGUCGCAAGCGUUAUCCGGAAUUAUUGGGCGUAAAGCGCGUCUAGGCGGCCUUUUAAGUCUGAUGUUAAAAUGCGGGGCUCAACUCCGUAUUGCGUUGGAAACUGGAAGGCUAGAGUAUCAGAGAGGUGGGCGGAACUACAAGUGUAGAGGUGAAAUUCGUAGAUAUUUGUAGGAAUGCCGAUUGGGAAGCCAGCUCACUGGAUGAAUACUGACGCUAAAGCGCGAAAGCGUGGGGAGCAAACGGGAUUAGAUACCCCGGUAGUCCACGCCGUAAACGAUGAUCACUAAGUGUGGGGGGGUCGAACCUCCGUGCUCAAGCUAACGCGAUAAGUGAUCCGCCUGGGGAGUACGCACGCAAGUGUGAAACUCAAAGGAAUUGACGGGGACCCGCACAAGCGGUGGAGCAUGUGGUUUAAUUCGACGCAACGCGAGGAACCUUACCAGCCCUUGACAUCC